This 323-nucleotide ribosomal RNA is filed under the name uncultured eukaryote. RNAcentral's name for it is "partial 18S ribosomal RNA". It matches the Rfam family "Eukaryotic small subunit ribosomal RNA", at positions 1470 to 1796 of the family's 1831-position model. The record is from RNAcentral.
CCCUUAGAUGUUCUGGGCCGCACGCGCGCUACACUGAUGCAUUCAACGAGCACCCGCUGGGCCGAGAGGUCCGGCUAAUCUUUGAACGUGCAUCGUGCUGGGGAUAGAUGAUUGCAAUUAUUCAUCUUCAACGAGGAAUUCCUAGUAAACGCAAGUCAUCAGCUUGCAUUGAUUACGUCCCUGCCCUUUGUACACACCGCCCGUCGCACCUACCGAUUGAAUGGUCCGGUGAAUAAUUCGGACUGCAGCACUGCUUGGUCUCCAGGCUUUGCAGCGGAAAGUUUAGUGAACCUUAUCACUUAGAGGAAGGAGAAGUCGUANCA